AACGUUAUAGAUCAGAGAUUUUCGUUUCUGAUACGUUAUCGAUUUCCGGAAUCCUUUCUAAUGAAUUGAUUUCAAAUUUGUAUUUUUGGUAGAAAUUUCGUUGUUAAGGAUCUCUCUUUCUUGUUACUUGAGAUGUUCUUCGAUGGCUUAGUUCUUGGUUUGAAACUCAUUAGUUCUUGGCUGAGCAAUUGUUUUAUGGCUUGCAACUUAAGGAACAGAGACCAAUGAAGUAAUUAGAGUUCUUUGGAAUAUGUUUUAAAUGGUAGUCAAGGAUGGAAGGAAGUUCGGUUUGAUUUCAAUUUGAAGAUGUAUGAAGUCUUGGAGAAGUCAUCUUUAUACUGAAACUUGCAAGGUUUGCAGGCAAAGGCUUGCUUUUUCAUGUUUAUAAUGAUGGCUUCUAUUGCAGGAGAACGUAAUGCCAACUCUUACCAUGACUUUGCAACCUAUUACUUUCCUUAUGGUAGAACUUAUGUUAAUUUCAAACUUUGAAGACAGUAAAUGCUGGUGGGCAGCCAAAAUCUGAAUCAUAUGACUUAAAGAAAUUCCAUGUUGGAGAUAUGAUUAUUGGGAGAAUCAAACGUGUGGAGCCCUAUGGCUUAUUCAUUGACAUUGAUCAAACUGGCAUGGUAAUGAUCUAGUUUCAUGCUGCAAGGUGAAAAAGAAGACUAUAGCUGCAAGACGGAGUCAAGUGAAAAUGAUUAUAUUCCCGGAGGCUAACCGGAAAGAUUUUGAUGAGCUGGCGGAAAACGUGAAAGAAGUGCUUGAUGGAAACAAGAGAUGGAGAAGUAGCAGCACACAGCAAGAAUCGUUUGACAUGGCAACAUGGUCCUUUGUGGUACUCACUGCUUCUCCUCAACUUCACGGCCAUUAUCACUAUUCUCUUUGAUACCUUUGUGGUACUCACUGCUUCUGCUAAGUCUUCUUCCUUCCUCCUCCAAUGAUGAUACUGUUGACUACAGCUAUUCUGCUAUAUAAAACACUUUCUACAUUCCACUUGCAUUUGUAUUGCCCCUUGUACUGUCAACACUCCAUUUAUAUGUGAUGCAUUUGUAGCGAAAAACUUUGUGUUUUACGAGUUUGCUACUUCUGGUGUGUAAAA
Arabidopsis lyrata subsp. lyrata is the source of this 1099-nucleotide long non-coding RNA. RefSeq lists it as uncharacterized. The transcript has 3 exons. The record is from RefSeq and is a predicted model, not a curated record. NCBI's taxonomy places the organism in Eukaryota, Viridiplantae, Streptophyta, Magnoliopsida, Brassicales, Brassicaceae.